ACGACUCUCGGCAACGGAUAUCUCGGCUCUCGCAUCGAUGAAGAACGUAGCGAAAUGUGAUACCUGGUGUGAAUUGCAGAAUCCCGCGAACCAUCGAGUCUUUGAACGCAAGUUGCGCCCGAGGCCACUCGGCCGAGGGCACGCCUGCCUGGGCGUCAUGC
This 161-nucleotide ribosomal RNA is filed under the name Hordeum murinum subsp. leporinum. RNAcentral's name for it is "5.8S ribosomal RNA". It matches the Rfam family "5.8S ribosomal RNA". From Rfam's summary of the family: 5.8S ribosomal RNA (5.8S rRNA) is a component of the large subunit of the eukaryotic ribosome. It is transcribed by RNA polymerase I as part of the 45S precursor that also contains 18S and 28S rRNA. Lineage: Eukaryota; Viridiplantae; Streptophyta; Magnoliopsida; Poales; Poaceae. The record is from RNAcentral.